This is a long non-coding RNA of Rosa rugosa (rugosa rose), 602 nucleotides long. RefSeq lists it as uncharacterized. The transcript is spliced from 2 exons. Lineage: Eukaryota; Viridiplantae; Streptophyta; Magnoliopsida; Rosales; Rosaceae. The record is from RefSeq and is a predicted model, not a curated record.
GUUUGUUACAAGGGAUUGGAUGGGAUUGGACUGUCUUAUUUCUUAAAACAAGAGUUAUCCCAUGUUUGGCUGAAAUAAGGACUCAAUUAAAUGAGACUAUGUAGUCCCCGAAACCACCUCCACACCUUCUUACACAGAGACUCCGAAAUUCAUCAGACUCUUGAAGCAGGUCUUAUACAACGCCAAAUCUCUUCUCCAUCGUUCUUCGCUUCAGCCUCGUCUCUCACUCAUUUUUUCAAGCUUCAGUCUCCUUCGAUUGCUCUUGUUCAGGUGAUGUAUGCAUUCCUUGAUCAGCCAAAUGGAAAUUAUGGAUGAAGUUUGAUCUUGGUAAGGGCAGGGGAAUGGAUGUCUGCAUCAAAACAACAGUUAAAACAGAUAAAAUAAGCUCAGACACUUGUGGCUCUAAUGGGAAUGCCAUACUGUAACCCAAGCGUAAAAAAAGAAACUGAGGUCUCACCAUUUAAGUUCAAAGGGAAGAGGAAGAACAUGAGCCUUGCCUUUUGGAGAUAGGAACAUUUUGCUGUUAGUUUUGUAUUUUGUAAAGUUCAGUCACCAAACUAUCAAUGUAUGUUAAAAUAUUCAAUGAAAAUGAUCUUUUAGUA